RNAcentral lists this long non-coding RNA (286 nucleotides) under Gossypium raimondii (Peruvian cotton). RNAcentral's name for it is "long non-coding RNA (GRAI_LNC000148)". Lineage: Eukaryota; Viridiplantae; Streptophyta; Magnoliopsida; Malvales; Malvaceae. The record is from RNAcentral.
UGGAAGCUAGCUCAAUUGGCCGAACGCAUCGGGAUCGAAUUCGAGUUUCGGGGAUUCGUGGCUAAUAGUUUAGCCGAUCUCGAACCCGAAAUGCUCGAUAUUCGUCCUCCCGAGAUUGAAGUAGUAGCGGUGAACGCUGUUUUCGAGCUUCAUCCCUUGUUAGCUCGACCGGGUGGGAUCGAAAAAGUUGUUUCCUCUAUUAAAGCGAUGAAACCCAAGAUUGUCACGGUUGUUGAACAAGAAGCGAAUCACAACGGUCCGGUUUUCUUAGACCGUUUUACUGAAG